GAGAUUGUGUCCCAGCUGCCAGAGGCAGCUUCAGGGACAGGGAGACAGGGCUCUUUGGUCUCCACAUUAGUUUAACCCCUACCCCCCCCUCUUCCUCAAUUAACCCCUUCAAUGCUGCGAUUGUUUAUGACCCCCAUCGCAGCAUUGCAGGGGUUAAUAUUAGUCCCCACAAGCUUGUGGGGACUAAAUAUCAAUCAAUGCUGUGCUUCAAUGGAGCAUCAGCAUUGAAAGAGUUAAAAAAAAAAAAAUUAAAAAAUUA
Molecule: long non-coding RNA, 259 nt
Organism: Spea bombifrons (plains spadefoot toad)
Lineage: Eukaryota; Metazoa; Chordata; Amphibia; Anura; Pelobatidae
Exons: 2
Source: RefSeq, a predicted model, not a curated record